Molecule: unclassified non-coding RNA, 314 nt
Filed under: plant metagenome
Description: partial contains 5.8S ribosomal RNA, internal transcribed spacer 2, and large subunit ribosomal RNA
Rfam family: 5.8S ribosomal RNA (bases 1-105)
Source: RNAcentral
GAAAUGCGAUAAUUAAUGUGAAUUGCAGAAUUCAGUGAAUCAUCGAGUCUUUGAACGCACAUUGCGCCCCCUGGUAUUCCGGGGGGCAUGCCUGUCCGAGCGUCAUUGCUGCCCUUAAGCACGGCUUGUGUGUUGGGCUUCCGUCCCUGGCAACGGGGACGGGCCCAAAAGGCAGUGGCGGCACCAUGUCUGGUCCUCGAGCGUAUGGGGCUUUGUCACCCGCUCCCGUAGGUCCAGCUGGCAGCUAGCCUCGCAACCAAUCUUUUUAACCAGGUUGACCUCGGAUCAGGUAGGGAUACCCGCUGAACUUAAGC